Molecule: non-coding RNA, 29 nt
Filed under: Mus musculus (house mouse)
Lineage: Eukaryota; Metazoa; Chordata; Mammalia; Rodentia; Muridae
Source: RNAcentral
UUCACCAGGAACUUGGUUUGUAGUUGUCU